UUUAACUGAGCGUUCAGUUACUUGACGUAGACCCGAAACCGGGCGACCUACCCAUGAGCAGGAUGAAGCGAAAGUAAAAUUUCGUGGAGGUCCGAACCCACGAGCGUUGAAAAGCUCGGGGAUGACUUGUGGGUAGCGGUGAAAUUCCAAUCGAGCCCGGAGAUAGCUGGUUCUCCCCGAAAUAGCUUUAGGGCUAGCCUCAAGGUGAGAGAUACGGAGGUAGAGCACUGAAUGUCCUAGGGGGUAUUGCACCUACCGAAGACUAUCAAACUCCGAAUGCCGUCAUCUUAUACUUGGGAGUCAGACUGUGGGUGAUAAGAUUCAUAGUCGAAAGGGCAACAGCCCAGAUCGUCAGCUAAGGUCCCUAAAUGUAAGUUAAGUGGUAAAGGAUGUGGGAUUGCACAGACAACCAGGAUGUUGGCUUAGAAGCAGCCACUCAUUCAAAGAGUGCGUAAUAGCUCACUGGUCGAGUGAUCCUGCGCCGAAGAUUUCCGGGGCUAAAACUUACUACCGAAGCUACGGCAUCAGUAAUGAUGGGUAGGGGAGCUUCCCAUACGGGUUGAAGCAUGACCGUAAGGACAUGUGGACAGUAUGGGAGUGAGAAUGUUGGCAUGAGUAGCGAGAUGUGGGUGAGAAUCCCACAGGCCGUAAACCCAAGGUUUCCAGGGGAAGGUUCGUCCGCCCUGGGUUAGUCGGGACCUAAGCUGAGGCCGAAAGGCGUAGGUGAUGGACAACAGGUUGAUAUUCCUGUACUACCGAUAACCGUUUGAGAGAAGGGAUGACACAGUAGGAUAAGCUAAGCACACUGUUGGUUAUGUGUGCCCAAGCAUUGAGGCAGUCAAAGUAGGCAAAUCCGCUUUGAUAAUGCUGGGAUGUGAUGGGGAGCGAAAUUUAGUAGCGAAGUAGCUGAUUUCACACUGUCAAGAAAAGUCUCUAUCGAGGUUAAAGGUACCCGUACCGCAAACCGACACAGGUGGGUGAGGAGAGUAUCCUAAGGCCAGCGAGAGAACUGUUGUUAAGGAACUCGGCAAAAUGACCCCGUAACUUAGGGAUAAGGGGUGCCACCAUCAGGUGGCCGCAGAGAAUAGGCCCAAGCGACUGUUUACCAAAAACAUAGGUUUCUGCUAAGUCGCAAGACGAUGUAUAGGAGCUGACGCCUGCCCGGUGCUGGAAGGUUAAGGGGAUCUGUUAGAGCAAUCGAAGCAGUGAACUUAAGCCCCAGUAAACGGCGGCCGUAACUAUAACGGUCCUAAGGUAGCGAAAUUCCUUGUCGGGUAAGUUCCGACCCGCACGAAAGGCGUAACGAUUUGGGCACUGUCUCAACAACAGACUCGGUGAAAUUGUAAUUCCGGUGAAGAUGCCGGAUACCUGCGACAGGACGGAAAGACCCCAUGGAGCUUUACUGUAGCUUGACAUUGGGUUUUGGUACUACAUGUACAGGAUAGGUGGGAGGCUUUGAAACCAGGACGCCAGUUUUGGCGGAGCCAUCCUUGGGAUACCACCCUUGUAGUACUGGGACUCUAACCAUAGGCCAUGAAUCUGGUCUUGGGACACUGUCAGGUGGGCAGUUUGACUGGGGCGGUCGCCUCCCAAAAGGUAACGGAGGCGCUCAAAGGUUCUCUCAGUACGGUCGGAAAUCGUACGUAGAGUGUAAAGGCAAAAGAGAGCUUGAUUGCAAGACAUACAGGUCGAGCAAGGAUGAAAAUCGGACUUAGUGAUCCGGUGGUUCUGCGUGGAAGGGCCAUCGCUCAACGGAUAAAAGCUACCCUGGGGAUAACAGGCUUAUCUCCCCCAAGAGUCCACAUCGACGGGGAGGUUUGGCACCUCGAUGUCGGCUCAUCACAUCCUGGGGCUGUAGUAGGUCCCAAGGGUUGGGCUGUUCGCCCAUUAAAGUGGUACGCGAGCUGGGUUCAGAACGUCGUGAGACAGUUCGGUCCCUAUCCGUCGCAGGCGUAGGAAAUUUGAGAAGACCUGUCCUUAGUACGAGAGGACCGGGAUGGACGUACCUCUGGUGUACCAGUUGUUCUGCCAAGGGCAUGGCUGGGUAGCUAUGUACGGAAUGGAUAAGCGCUGAAAGCAUCUAAGCGCGAAGCCAACU
This 2098-nucleotide ribosomal RNA is filed under the name Clostridioides difficile. RNAcentral's name for it is "partial 23S ribosomal RNA". It matches the Rfam family "Bacterial large subunit ribosomal RNA", at positions 683 to 2798 of the family's 2925-position model. Lineage: Bacteria; Bacillati; Bacillota; Clostridia; Peptostreptococcales; Peptostreptococcaceae. The record is from RNAcentral.